Long non-coding RNA from Rhipicephalus sanguineus (brown dog tick), 268 nucleotides. RefSeq lists it as uncharacterized. The record is from RefSeq and is a predicted model, not a curated record. NCBI's taxonomy places the organism in Eukaryota, Metazoa, Arthropoda, Arachnida, Ixodida, Ixodidae. The transcript has 2 exons.
GAUUUCAUCAUCUUCUCCGCUGGAAACUCCAUUCAAUGGACCUCGUUUUCUGGACAGAGGUCGCCAUCGAGGAAACAGACAUGGCUGCCCCUUGACCUCCAGUGCUCGUAGCAGGGCUCGCAUAGAACGUGGCGACACGCUAGGAAGGCCGUCUUCCUGGCAACAGCUCUGCAGGCACUGCACACCCUGAUGUCGUCGAUGGGUUUAAUGAAGUGCAGUGUGCUCCAGUCGAGGCUUGGUGAGAAUCCAAACACAGCGUGAGAAUAAA